GCAGACAGGAAGACUUCUUGUCCAACAUCAAUGUCUGAUCUCACUAAUGAUUUUCUUUAAAAAAUUU
Molecule: long non-coding RNA, 67 nt
Organism: Xiphophorus couchianus (Monterrey platyfish)
Lineage: Eukaryota; Metazoa; Chordata; Actinopteri; Cyprinodontiformes; Poeciliidae
Exons: 3
Source: RefSeq, a predicted model, not a curated record